UACGGAGGAUGCGAGCGUUAUCCGGAUUUAUUGGGUUUAAAGGGUGCGUAGGCGGUGUAGCAAGUUAGAAGUGAAAUACCUAGAGCUUAACUCAGGUGCUGCUUCUAAAACUGCUAUACUUGAGUGCAGUAGAGGAAAGUGGAAUUCCUAGUGUAGCGGUGGAAUGCGUAGAUAUUAGGAGGAACAUCAGUGGCGAAGGCGACUUUCUGGACUGUAACUGACGCUGAGGCACGAAAGUGUGGGGAGCAAACAGG
Molecule: ribosomal RNA, 254 nt
Filed under: uncultured bacterium
Lineage: Bacteria
Description: partial 16S ribosomal RNA
Rfam family: Bacterial small subunit ribosomal RNA
Source: RNAcentral